RNAcentral lists this long non-coding RNA (207 nucleotides) under Neogale vison (American mink). Its description in RNAcentral is "Neovison vison (American mink) Embryonic ventral forebrain RNA 1 conserved region 2 (ENSNVIG00000019648.1)". It matches the Rfam family "Embryonic ventral forebrain RNA 1 conserved region 2". From Rfam's summary of the family: Evf-1 (Embryonic ventral forebrain-1) is a developmentally-regulated long non-coding RNA. In rats, it is expressed in neurons in the subventricular zone of the developing forebrain. Lineage: Eukaryota; Metazoa; Chordata; Mammalia; Carnivora; Mustelidae. The record is from RNAcentral.
AAUAGUCAAACAAAUUAGCAGUGGAGCUCACCAAGACAGUACAUUCAGCCCUGAUUCAGAGAUGUCUCAGUUUAUCAGUUUUCUGUCAAUCAUUAAACAACAAAGAUGAAACAUGCAAUUAUGUACAAGGAGACAGAACUCCUAAUUUUUUCAUCCUAGCUGAAGCAGAAGGGUUUUAAUUGCUUGGAAAAAUAAGAUUUUUAUUUU